RNAcentral lists this ribosomal RNA (460 nucleotides) under uncultured bacterium. Its description in RNAcentral is "partial 16S ribosomal RNA". It matches the Rfam family "Bacterial small subunit ribosomal RNA", at positions 338 to 795 of the family's 1533-position model. The record is from RNAcentral.
CCUACGGGUGGCAGCAGUGAGGAAUAUUGGUCAAUGGACGAGAGUCUGAACCAGCCAAGUAGCGUGAAGGAUGACUGCCCUCUGGGUUGUAAACUUCUUUUAUAUGGGCAUAAAAUGUUCCACGUGUGGGGUUUUGUAUGUACCCUAUGAAUAAGGAUCUGCUAACUCCGUGCCAGCAGCCGCGGUAAUACGGCGGAUCCGUGCGUUAUCCGGAUGUAUUGGGUUUAAAGGGUGCGUAGGUGGAGUAGUAAGUCAGUUGUGAAAGUUUGCGGCUCAAACGUUAAAUUGCAGUUGAAACUGGCAGUCUUGAGUACAGUAGAGGUGGGCGGAAUUCGUGGUGUAGCGGUGAAAUGCUUAGAUAUCACGAAGAACGCCGAUUGCGAAGGCAGUUCACUGGACUGCAACUGACACUGAGGCUCGAAAGUGUGGGUAUCAAACAGGAUUAGAUACCCUGGUAGUC